RNAcentral lists this transfer RNA (70 nucleotides) under Zygosaccharomyces rouxii. RNAcentral describes it as "partial transfer RNA". It matches the Rfam family "tRNA". Rfam says of the family: Transfer RNA (tRNA) molecules are approximately 80 nucleotides in length. Their secondary structure includes four short double-helical elements and three loops (D, anti-codon, and T loops). Lineage: Eukaryota; Fungi; Ascomycota; Saccharomycetes; Saccharomycetales; Saccharomycetaceae. The record is from RNAcentral.
UCCGAUGUAGUGUAACGACUAUCACAUCACGCUUUCACCGUGGAGACCGGGGUUCGACUCCCCGUAUCGG